Molecule: ribosomal RNA, 3186 nt
Filed under: Drosophila melanogaster (fruit fly)
Lineage: Eukaryota; Metazoa; Arthropoda; Insecta; Diptera; Drosophilidae
Description: eukaryotic LSU rRNA
Rfam family: Eukaryotic large subunit ribosomal RNA (bases 2016-3034)
Source: RNAcentral
AGUCAACCCACGCGUUUAUUGACAGGAAAGGAAUAUAUAGACGGUAUUCGUCUGCGGAUAAAUGCCCUUCCCACAAAGUCUCGUACUACAAGGAGAAGGCACGAAUUGGAACGACAGUGUCGUGCAGGAUGUGAUGCUCCCGAAACAACAAACCAAUGCAAAAAUGUUACCGCUCUCAUAGGAGGCGGGUAGCUAGACACAACUGCGUAGUAAAUCGUAGCAGGGACUUGAGGAGAGAGAGAUGACUUGGUCAUUGUUUAACCAAGUCUACAGUGCGAAUCCGGCCUUAAUAAACCAGACCAAAAUCACAUUGAUGUGAUCGACAUACAAAUUGUGACAGACGGACACUCAAUGGAUGAUGCACACCAGGGAAAAUCAAUAGAUACGACAGGCCGGACAUACGAACUGAAUUGCGUCGCAGAUUCGAAGCCGCAGGUGACAUUGAAUUCCAUUCUGCCACCCUGAACUGGAGGGGGAUCAGGAGUGGUCAAUACGUUAAAAGAUUGAUAGCGAAGGGUCUCCUCAGAAAAUAUGAUAGUCAUAUCAUUAGCGUCCAGGUUAUGAGAGCCAGUCUCGGUUGUUUUAAACAGUUCAUGUACCUGAGCGGGUUUUCCCGAGAUUGGACUUAGCUAAAACGUUUGGUUCAAAAAAUUUGCUUGCUGUCUUGGCAUAACAUCAAUAAAGGCAUAAGCAUCGCAAAAUAAUGGUUAUAAUUAAAUGGCUAUGAGGGUGGUUUUAGUACGUAGGCGUUGCGGAACUUCGGUUCAUAUACAGCAAUGAAUCGUGCAUGCCAGGAAAACUGACCACACACAGUGUUGGCAGACCAAGUAUCUUUCGAAGAUUUCUAUACCUCCGCGAUCAAAAAAAAAAAAAAAAAAAAAAGCCAAAUGCCUCGUCAUCUAAUUAGUGACGCGCAUGAAUGGAUUAACGAGAUUCCUACUGUCCCUAUCUACUUUGCCGUGUGGUUAGCGGGCGAGAAUACUACCACAGUCCGCUGUUGCUUGUCGUAAGACUAAUACAGGUUCCUCUAACCCUGCUUGUCGGAGCAAAAGGGGGAGGCCCACCGAGCCUCUUUUCGGUACCACGGGUUGAACAGCUAUCCAAGACUGCUCAUUGAGGUAGGCCCCCUGGUGGGAGUAUCGUGGUGGCUGUGGUUGGUACCCAUAUCGCGGGUAGAGCCUUCAUGCUCGACGUUUGAGUUACGGUGCUGGUUGCGCAAAACUCGGGUGCUGAGACCCAGAGAUCAGUAGAGAUUUUAGGUAGAUCUCGCUCCUCAGCAAGGGGGAGUGCUUGCCCGGCAAGCAAGUACUCGAAUUGCUACCGGGGUGGUCGCUAUGUACAUAGCUAUAGCUUCUAGUCCGGGACGCUUGUCUGGCGUAUCCAGACACAUGCACCAUAUGCUCACUUGUGGGUGUAUAGGGUGCCGUGGUUGUAAUCCCUUCAGUGUGGAACACGCCACGUAAAAUAAGUUCGGAGGGAUCCGAAAAGCAUACAUUGUCCCUAUCUACUUUGCCGUGUGGUUAGCGGGCGAGAAUACUACCACAGUCCGCUGUUGCUUGUCGUAAGACUAAUACAGGUUCCUCUAACCCUGCUUGUCGGAGCAAAAGGGGGAGGCCCACCGAGCCUCUUUUCGGUACCACGGGUUGAACAGCUAUCCAAGACUGCUCAUUGAGGUAGGCCCCCUGGUGGGAGUAUCGUGGUGGCUGUGGUUGGUACCCAUAUCGCGGGUAGAGCCUUCAUGCUCGACGUUUGAGUUACGGUGCUGGUUGCGCAAAACUCGGGUGCUGAGACCCAGAGAUCAGUAGAGAUUUUAGGUAGAUCUCGCUCCUCAGCAAGGGGGAGUGCUUGCCCGGCAAGCAAGUACUCGAAUUGCUACCGGGGUGGUCGCUAUGUACAUAGCUAUAGCUUCUAGUCCGGGACGCUUGUCUGGCGUAUCCAGACACAUGCACCAUAUGCUCACUUGUGGGUGUAUAUGGUGCCGUGGUUGUAAUCCCUUCAGUGUGGAACACGCCACGUAAAACAAGUUCGGAGGGAUCCGAAAAGCAUACAUUGUCCCUAUCUACUAUCUAGCGAAACCACAGCCAAGGGAACGGGCUUGGAAUAAUUAGCGGGGAAAGAAGACCCUUUUGAGCUUGACUCUAAUCUGGCAGUGUAAGGAGACAUAAGAGGUGUAGAAUAAGUGGGAGAUAUUAGACCUCGGUUUGGUAUCGUCAAUGAAAUACCACUACUCUUAUUGUUUUCUUACUUACUUGAUUAAGUGGAACGUGUAUCAUUUCCUAGCCAUUAUACGGAUAUAUUUAUUAUAUCUUAUGGUAUUGGGUUUUGAUGCAAGCUUCUUGAUCAAAGUAUCACGAGUUUUUUAUAUAAUCGCAAUCAAAUUCUUUAAUAAAACGAUGCAUUUAUGUAUUUUUGAUUUGAAAAUUUGGUAUAACUCCAAUUACUCAGGUAUGAUCCAAUUCAAGGACAUUGCCAGGUAGGGAGUUUGACUGGGGCGGUACAUCUCUCAAAUAAUAACGGAGGUGUCCCAAGGCCAGCUCAGUGCGGACAGAAACCACACAUAGAGCAAAGGGGCAAAUGCUGACUUGAUCUCAGUGUUCAGUACACACAGGGACAGCAAAAGCUCGGCCUAUCGAUCCUUUUGGUUUAAAGAGUUUUUAACAAGAGGUGUCAGAAAAGUUACCAUAGGGAUAACUGGCUUGUGGCGGCCAAGCGUUCAUAGCGACGUCGCUUUUUGAUCCUUCGAUGUCGGCUCUUCCUAUCAUUGUGAAGCAAAAUUCACCAAGCGUUGGAAUGUUCACCCAUGCAAGGGAACGUGAGCUGGGUUUAGACCGUCGUGAGACAGGUUAGUUUUACCCUACUAAUGACAAAACGUUGUUGCGACAGCAUUCCUGCGUAGUACGAGAGGAACCGCAGGUACGAACCAAUGGCACAAUACUUGUUCGAGCGAACAGUGGUAUGACGCUACGUCCGUUGGAUUAUGCCUGAACGCCUCUAAGGUCGUCUCCGUGCUGGACUGCAAUGAUAAAUAAGGGGCAAUUUGCAUUGUAUGCCUUCUAAACCAUUUAAAGUUUAUAAUUUACUUUAUAAACGACAAUGGAUGUGAUGCCAAUGUAAUUUGUAACAUAGUAAAUUGGGAGGAUCUUCGAUCACCUGAUGCCGCGCUAGUUACAUAUAAAAGCAUUAUUU